RNAcentral lists this non-coding RNA (96 nucleotides) under Legionellales bacterium. RNAcentral's name for it is "TPP sequence". It matches the Rfam family "TPP riboswitch aptamer (THI element)". Rfam says of the family: Vitamin B(1) in its active form thiamin pyrophosphate (TPP) is an essential coenzyme that is synthesised by coupling of pyrimidine and thiazole moieties in bacteria. The record is from RNAcentral. Lineage: Bacteria; Pseudomonadati; Pseudomonadota; Gammaproteobacteria; Legionellales.
CAAAAUCAUCAGGGGUGCUUUGGCAGCAAAGCUGAGAAAAACCCUUAUAACCUGCUCUGGGUAAUGCCUGCGAAGGGAGAGUGAAUUUGACUUAUA